Molecule: ribosomal RNA, 383 nt
Filed under: uncultured Halomonas sp.
Lineage: Bacteria; Pseudomonadati; Pseudomonadota; Gammaproteobacteria; Oceanospirillales; Halomonadaceae
Description: bacterial SSU rRNA
Rfam family: Bacterial small subunit ribosomal RNA
Source: RNAcentral
GGUACGGGGAGCGAAUCUGCGCGGUAGUGGGGGAUAACCUGGGGAAACCCAGGCUAAUACCGCAUACGUCCUACGGGAGAAAGCAGGGGAUCUUCGGACCUUGCGCUAUCGGAUGAGCCUAUGUCAGAUUAGCUUGUUGGUGAGGUAAUGGCUCACCAAGGCGACGAUCCGUAACUGGUCUGAGAGGAUGAUCAGCCACAUCGGGACUGAGACACGGCCCGAACUCCUACGGGAGGCAGCAGUGGGGAAUAUUGGACAAUGGGCGAAAGCCUGAUCCAGCCAUGCCGCGUGUGUGAAGAAGGCUUUCGGGUUGUAAAGCACUUUCAGUGAGGAAGAAGGCCUUGGGGCUAAUACCCCCGAGGAAGGACAUCACUCACAACGGG